AGCAAGUUGCUCGGGGUAAAUUAAUGAGUUUAUAAAAUAAAUUCACAAUGAAAAUUUUAUAUUAAUCUCCAUGCAAUCUCUGUGCAAGCACACAAUAAGAUCAGUUGGAAAAGAAAAUUUUAGCUUUCUUAUAUCAAUUUUUAUGAUCCCCUUUUAUUAGGAAUGGACUUCAAUCCAUUUUUAGAUAUAAUAGACAUGUAGGUCAAUUCACCUCUUAUAGAGUUUGUGUAAAUCUAGGCUUCCUAUCUGUUAAUUCUCGUAUAUGCCAAUACAUAACCUCAUCCUAACCCAAGAGAAAACUUAGAAGUGGAUAAUAGGAAGGCAAUUCGCUCAUAAACUUAAGGAACGCUGAGCGGAUGGACACUCUAAAUAACUCAAGUUCCCAAUUAAUCUCCACAAAAUCAUUGAGUUAAUACUGGUCAAAUGAUAUUAAGCUUUGUGAACUGAAAAAUUAUUGCAGUUAUGUAUCACAUAGGUCCAGCCCAUUAGAAACAAUGAAUACUAACGACAAUCAUCAGGAGAGCAAUACUAGUCAGGUCUAGUAAAAUCUCAUCCAAUUUAGUGAAUCUCUUAGACUUCUCAAAAAAAUACCAAAAAAAGGCAACCUUUUG
RNAcentral lists this unclassified non-coding RNA (611 nucleotides) under Hevea brasiliensis (rubber tree). The record is from RNAcentral. Lineage: Eukaryota; Viridiplantae; Streptophyta; Magnoliopsida; Malpighiales; Euphorbiaceae.